RNAcentral lists this ribosomal RNA (683 nucleotides) under Ionaspis ventosa. Its description in RNAcentral is "SSU rRNA". It matches the Rfam family "Bacterial small subunit ribosomal RNA", at positions 472 to 1217 of the family's 1533-position model. Lineage: Eukaryota; Fungi; Ascomycota; Lecanoromycetes; Hymeneliales; Hymeneliaceae. The record is from RNAcentral.
ACAUUUUCUACCUAUGUGUCUUGACCAAAUCNCGUGCCAGCAGUCGCGGUAAUACGUGGAAGACUAGUGUUAUUCAUCUUUAAUGGGUUUAAAGGGUACUUAGACGGUAUAUUAAGCCCCUAAAGGGUACUAAUAUUCUAGAGUUUUAUGAGAGGGGGGGAGUACUAAAGAGUGUAGAGAUGAAAUUCUGUCAUACCUUUAUUGGAACAGGUAACGGCGAAAGCAACCCUUUAUGUAAUAACUGACGUUGAAGGACGAAGGCUCAGUACACCAACAGGAUUAGAUACCCUAGCAGUCUGAGCAGACAAUGAUGAAUGUCAUAGAUUAGAUAAUUUAUAUUAUAUAUAGCUAAUUUUCUCUAUAAAUGAAAGUGUAAGCAUUCCACCUCAAGAGUAAUGUGGCAACGCAGAAACUGAAAUCAUUAGACCGUUUCUGAAACCAGUAGUGAAGUAUGUUGUUUAAUUUGAUGAUCCACGGAAAACCUCACCACAAUUUGAAUAUUUUUAUUUAUAUAUCUAUACAAGAGUUGCACGGCUGUCUUCAGUUAAUGUCGUGAGACUUUGGUUAGCUCCAUUAAAUUAACGUAAACCCUUACUUUAUUUGUUUAUAAAGUAGCUCACCGCUAUAUUGAAUAUGAUAACAGGGACUAAGACAAGUCAUCAUGGCCUGAAUAUUGUGGCUAU